GGCAUUAUGCCAGUGCAAAUUAGUCAAAUUCUGACAAUAAGCAAGUAACAUUCAAAUCUUCCAAUUGACAUUUUUUUUGUUCAGCUUAACUCAGAAAGAAAAGGAACAACAAUGCCGAACCAUCACUGGCGCGCAUACUAUAAAUGCGCUAUUUGUGGAGAUGAAUAUGACAGAAUUAACAGUCAACCAAAUCAGAGUGUCCCAUGUCAAAAAUGUGGCGCUACUAAUUAUCCAAAACUAAAGUUUCAGGUGUACAGAGUACAUGGUCAAACAGAGUCACGCAUGUAAGCUAUUACACAUUUAGCUUACAUUUUAACCGAUGAUAACAAUCGAUAGCCGGACUGUCUUUCAACAGUAGAUAAAACUUCAAAGAAAACAAUUUUUUCGCAUAAAAUAUUACUUUGACUGAAUAAAAAGAUCCAAUUCGUCAUUUGGCAAAAUAUCAACACAA
Contarinia nasturtii (swede midge) is the source of this 451-nucleotide long non-coding RNA. RefSeq lists it as uncharacterized. The record is from RefSeq and is a predicted model, not a curated record. The transcript is spliced from 2 exons. NCBI's taxonomy places the organism in Eukaryota, Metazoa, Arthropoda, Insecta, Diptera, Cecidomyiidae.